AACACUCGAAGAUUAUCUUGAUAAUGAGCGGAUCUCAUCAUCCGGUUCAUUAUUUUCUUUUCAUGUGAUAUAUUGUAUGACAAAUAAAAUAACAAAUGAAAAUCUUGAUUUAUGCAAAAAUUGCCAAGAAAUUAUUCAUACCACGUCUCGAUCAUAAUUCGACUUUGCAAUGUCCAAGUUACCUCAACGGCGGAGGUAGAGAGAGGUGACGUUGCUUCAUCAAUUAUAUGUUACAUGCAACAAGAAAAUGUCGCAGAAGAUGUAGCAAGAAAAUAUAUCGAAAGCAUAAUUUUGGAUUCGUGGAAGAAGAUUAAUUACCAUUUUAAUAACCUUUCUACAUCACAGAACAAAAUUGUUAAUCAUGUAACUAAUGGAGCACGAAUGGAUUUGGGGUUCAAGAUGGAGAAACUCGACACCAUAUCCUUCUCAACUUGGUUGAACCUAUUAUAUAAAAUUAAAAGUAUUUUUGAUAAGCAAAUUGUGUUUAAUUGAUACUAUUCGAGAGUCAACUUACGAAAAAAGGAAAAUGUCAAUCCACUUUUAAUACAUAGAUAAGUAAAAAAUAAAUUAAAUAUUGAUAUA
Solanum pennellii is the source of this 582-nucleotide long non-coding RNA. RefSeq lists it as uncharacterized. The transcript has 2 exons. Lineage: Eukaryota; Viridiplantae; Streptophyta; Magnoliopsida; Solanales; Solanaceae. The record is from RefSeq and is a predicted model, not a curated record.